Ornithodoros turicata is the source of this 293-nucleotide long non-coding RNA. RefSeq lists it as uncharacterized. Lineage: Eukaryota; Metazoa; Arthropoda; Arachnida; Ixodida; Argasidae. The record is from RefSeq and is a predicted model, not a curated record. The transcript is spliced from 3 exons.
AUGGGCCUAGGAGACGAAUACGAGAGCCUUCAUCAGUCCGAAAGGAGCCUUUUUUUCCUGGGCGUUGCACCAUUCGGCGGCGCAUUCCAAGACGGAGAUGAUUAUUCGGAGGUCAUUCUCAAAUACGUUAUGAGCAAUCUUGUUCCGGACGCAGUGCUAUACCGGUCCACUCGAACAGACUUCGAUGAGCAAUACGACUGUGUUUAUGCUGCACCAUCAAUGUGGUCUAGACUUGGAGACGGGGACACACAGAUGUCAUUUAUGUGCAACCUCACCCUGGAGCACAACUUCAC